GACGAACGCUGGCGGCGUGCUUAACACAUGCCAGUCGAACGCUGAAGCUCAGCUUUUGUUGGGUGGAUGAGUGGCGAACGGGUGAGUAACACGUGAGUAACCUGCCCCCUUCUUUGGGAUAACGCCCGGAAACGGGUGCUAAUACUGGAUAUUCACUGGUCUUCGCAUGGGGGUGGUGGAAAGGGUUUUUCUGGUGGGGGAUGGGCUCGCGGCCUAUCAGCUUGUUGGUGGGGUGAUGGCCUACCAAGGCUUUGACGGGUAGCCGGCCUGAGAGGGUGACCGGUCACAUUGGGACUGAGAUACGGCCCAGACUCGUACGGGAGGCAGCAGUGGGGAAUAUUGCACAAUGGGCGCAAGCCUGAUGCAGCGACGCCGCGGGAGGGAUGGAGGCCUUCGGGUUGUGAACCUCUUUCGCUAAUGGUCAAGCCGCAACAAUGGUUGUGGUGAGGUUAGUGGGUAAAGAAGCGCCGGCUAACUACGUG
This 482-nucleotide ribosomal RNA is filed under the name uncultured bacterium. Its description in RNAcentral is "partial 16S ribosomal RNA". It matches the Rfam family "Bacterial small subunit ribosomal RNA", at positions 28 to 507 of the family's 1533-position model. The record is from RNAcentral.